Molecule: long non-coding RNA, 201 nt
Organism: Daphnia pulex (common water flea)
Lineage: Eukaryota; Metazoa; Arthropoda; Branchiopoda; Diplostraca; Daphniidae
Exons: 3
Source: RefSeq, a predicted model, not a curated record
UACAGUCUCCCCCUCAAUUUUUCGGGAAAAAGUUGAUGUCUUCGGAGUAUGCAAAAGGAGUGAGCCUAAAAAGACCCACCCCAUAUAAUAUUUUCUUUCACAAGAGUAACACCAUGCAGCCUCUCAGAAAGUCUUUCUCAGCUUUUUCUCUCCAAUCUCAGAUUCCAUCGGCCAGGUUUUCCAUGGAAGUGAGCAACAUAU